UACAUUCAUAAUUGUUUAGAUUUCUAUUCAUUUUCAAAUUAAAACACCAUCACGCAAAUUCGUACAACUUUAUUUUAAACUUUUAUGUCCUCGAAUAUAAAUGUAAUUUAAUAGGAAAUAAAGUAUACAAAUGUAAUCAUCAAAUAGUUAAUUCAUUAUAAAAGGGAAAAACAAAUACUACAUUUAUAAUUGUUUAGAUUCAUAUUCAUUUUCAAAUUAAAACACCAUCACACAAUCUCAAUAAAUUGCAAUCUAUAAGUGCACGUCCUCAAACAUAAAUUUAGAUUAAAAAAUACAGUUAACAUUUUUUAUAAUAAAAUGAUAAUUAAAAAAAUAUUAUUUUUAUAAUUUUUCAAGAUAUUACUAUUAUAAAAAUUAAAUCAUUAGAAAAUUAAUUGUUAAAUUGAAAUAAAAAUCCAAUUUUUGUAAUUUUAAUAUUACUAUUGUUUUUCAAAUGGUCUUUUUUUCAUUUCCUGUUUUUCAGACAUGUACUUUUGCAGUCCUUCUGUAUAUUUUUGCCUUCAUUUUGUGUACGUCAUAGUGAGUUUGUAUGUUUUGGAGUUGUUUUGUGUAAAUAUUUUCUGGAUCAUUUUGUGCGCUAACUGUUGGGGGUGCACAAAGUCAGUCUGUGGGCCACCAGUUGCCCAUGUCUGCUAUAAUGGGUGACGUGUAAAUAUAUUUUGUGCAUGCGUGCGUUGAAAAUAACACUGAUAAAAAAAAAUUUUGGAGUAAAGUGGUGAUGGCUCCCCCCUUUGGAAGUUUGAAUUUGAAGCGAGCAAAACUUACAGCACCUGGUCUGGGCUACACCCUGUUUGGCCGUUGCCUCGGACCGGACACCCCCGAUAACCGCGCCGCCCAGAAGACCAAGUUUGGCUGGAUGAGGUACCCUCAGGCUGCACAGGUGACAGAGGACAGCCGGCUGCUCUAACUCCUCAUUAAGAUGCUGAGGAACCGCCCGCCCUCCAGCCGCCUUGCCUCUCCCAGCAAGGUGGCCGCCUCCAUCAAGGCACAAUAUAAAAGGAUUGUGGAUCGCGUGAGAGACGAUCCCAUCCUCUGCGGCCUCUCCAUCCCACUGCCCAACAUCAACAAUAAGUCCAUCUCCAGCUUCUUCUCUCGGGAGGAGAAGGCUGCCAACUACAGAGCUACGGUGCAGCCCAAAGCCAAGCCCCACCGCACCGUGCUGUCUGACCAACCGCUGCCCGACGCUCUUGCGUUGCCGUCCUCGCUGCCACCACCAGACCGACAGCAAAUGCAGUUCGAGCAGCCUCGCCACACGGCCGGGAAAAGGCGCGGAGAGAAGCGGAGGUUGGACUUUGAGGAGCCGGACCCAGAGGCGGGACCUUCAAAUCGGCCCAUCCAAGCCCAGCCUGCUGCCGCCGCCCCCCCCUACAUCCUACCUGCAGUCCGGGCAGCUCCCAUACUGCUGGUGGUCCCAGCACAGCCGUGCGCUCCAUCAAUCCAGUUUGCCGGACCUUCCUGCAGGCAGGUAUUCGUCCCCGUUCUGCCCCCCCCUGCUCUCAUCCCCAAGCCCAUCGUCCCCAAAAAGUCGGCGAGGCCCUGCGGGGCAUGCCAAGUUCCUCAGUGUGGUGGCCGGAGGAAACGCUACACGCCCUCCAAGGACAAAGCGGCUGGAAGCAGCCAAAAAAUUUACACUUUUUGUCCUGCCACAGGGAAGUCAACCACCUCUGGCUUUGAAGGCGUGGUGUACACCAGCUUUGAACACUUUAAAAGUGUGGUGGACGAGGAGCUGGAGAGGAGGAGAAGCCAUUAACACUGACUGUUGACACACCUGUUGCUUCUCCCUCUGUACAUUAUCCAUCUGUAUAUAUUAUUGAAUAUUUGUUACAUUGUAAUCAUACUGUAUAUAUGUUUUUAUAAUAGCUAUGUCAAUUAUAUUUCAUUUAGAUUUUGAUAAACAUUUUUAUUAUAUAUUUUUUUGGGCAACUUUAUAGAUGAAAGCCAUACUGGCAUUUCUGUAUGAUAGCACAUGUAUAUAUUAUUGCUUUUGUUUUAUAUUGAUUAUAUUUGUAAAGUUAGAAUUAUUUUUUGUUACUUGUGAAUUGUGUCAUAUUUUAUAUUAAUAAAAGUUGUGUUGUUAUUUAAAAGUGUGUCUUC
This 2115-nucleotide long non-coding RNA is filed under the name Gouania willdenowi (blunt-snouted clingfish). RNAcentral describes it as "lncRNA (ENSGWIG00000015109.1)". Lineage: Eukaryota; Metazoa; Chordata; Actinopteri; Blenniiformes; Gobiesocidae. The record is from RNAcentral.